Non-coding RNA from Periophthalmus magnuspinnatus, 443 nucleotides. NCBI's taxonomy places the organism in Eukaryota, Metazoa, Chordata, Actinopteri, Gobiiformes, Gobiidae. The record is from the annotation of a RefSeq genome assembly.
CAACACAAGCCACAUACCAGCUCCUCAUCAACAUGACUCUGGUGUGCGUCCUCAUGUGGACUGUCCUCUGCUGCUGCUUCACAGAGUCCAGAGGAGAGGUGACAGUGAGUCAGGCUGGAGCAGUGAGGGCCGCCCUGGGGGACACGGUCACUAUACGCUGUACCACCAGUGUAAAUGUGUUCUAUCUCAGUAGCUAUGGUCACUAUUUACACUGGUACCAACAGAAAGAUGGAGAGCCUCCUAAAGCUCUUAUAUAUCUUGCAUCUACUCGAGCCUCAGAUGUCCCCAGUCGUUUUUCAGGCAGUGGAUCUGGGUCUGAUUUCACUCUGACCAUCAGUGGAGUUCAGCCUGAAGACUUUGCUGUGUAUCACUGUGAGGGUGAAUUUGAUGCUUCCCGUUAUGACCAGUUCACACAGUGAAAAAGACUCGUACAAAAACCUCCU